This 262-nucleotide long non-coding RNA is filed under the name Ricinus communis (castor bean). Its description in RNAcentral is "long non-coding RNA (RCOM_LNC003353)". The record is from RNAcentral. Lineage: Eukaryota; Viridiplantae; Streptophyta; Magnoliopsida; Malpighiales; Euphorbiaceae.
ACCACCGAAAACAUCUAUAGCAGCCCUCUCCUCUAUUUUUCCGUCGCUGUAAGCUGUGUCCAAGUCUCACCGGAGUUGAAGCUUUCUGUCCUCGGUCCAGUGGCUUCCGGUGAGAUUCCGGCAAAGAUAUUUGCAUAUCUGGACUCCACGGAUCUCAAGCUUCGCAUAAAUGCCCCCGGAUCCAAAUUCUGACACCAUUGACUGUACCAAUUUUUGAACUCCGGUGUUUUUCUGACGCCGAGAAUUUUAAAUUUUUAGCUCG